RNAcentral lists this ribosomal RNA (469 nucleotides) under Escherichia coli. RNAcentral's name for it is "bacterial LSU rRNA". It matches the Rfam family "Bacterial large subunit ribosomal RNA", at positions 1273 to 1744 of the family's 2925-position model. Lineage: Bacteria; Pseudomonadati; Pseudomonadota; Gammaproteobacteria; Enterobacterales; Enterobacteriaceae. RNAcentral also lists the same sequence under 16 other names. The record is from RNAcentral.
CUGGAGGUAUCAGAAGUGCGAAUGCUGACAUAAGUAACGAUAAAGCGGGUGAAAAGCCCGCUCGCCGGAAGACCAAGGGUUCCUGUCCAACGUUAAUCGGGGCAGGGUGAGUCGACCCCUAAGGCGAGGCCGAAAGGCGUAGUCGAUGGGAAACAGGUUAAUAUUCCUGUACUUGGUGUUACUGCGAAGGGGGGACGGAGAAGGCUAUGUUGGCCGGGCGACGGUUGUCCCGGUUUAAGCGUGUAGGCUGGUUUUCCAGGCAAAUCCGGAAAAUCAAGGCUGAGGCGUGAUGACGAGGCACUACGGUGCUGAAGCAACAAAUGCCCUGCUUCCAGGAAAAGCCUCUAAGCAUCAGGUAACAUCAAAUCGUACCCCAAACCGACACAGGUGGUCAGGUAGAGAAUACCAAGGCGCUUGAGAGAACUCGGGUGAAGGAACUAGGCAAAAUGGUGCCGUAACUUCGGGAGAA